AGUGAACGCUGGCGGUAGGCCUAACACAUGCAAGUCGAACGGCAGCACAGUAAGAGCUUGCUCUUACGGGUGGCGAGUGGCGGACGGGUGAGGAAUACAUCGGAAUCUACUUUUUCGUGGGGGAUAACGUAGGGAAACUUACGCUAAUACCGCAUACGACCUACGGGUGAAAGCAGGGGAUCUUCGGACCUUGCGCGAUUGAAUGAGCCGAUGUCGGACUAGCUAGUUGGCGGGGUAAAGGCCCACCAAGGCGACGAUCCGUAGCUGGUCUGAGAGGAUGAUCAGCCACACUGGAACUGAGGCACGGUCCAGACUCCUACGGGAGGCAGCAGUGGGGAAUAUUGGACAAUGGGCGCAAGCCUGAUCCAGCCAUACCGCGUGGGUGAAGAAGGCCUUCGGGUUGUAAAGCCCUUUUGUUGGGAAAGAAAAGCAGCAGGUUAAUACCCCGCUGUUCUGACGGUACCCAAAGAAUAAGCACCGGCUAACUUCGUG
Molecule: ribosomal RNA, 492 nt
Filed under: uncultured bacterium
Lineage: Bacteria
Description: partial 16S ribosomal RNA
Rfam family: Bacterial small subunit ribosomal RNA
Source: RNAcentral